This 113-nucleotide ribosomal RNA is filed under the name Burkholderia sp. MS455. Lineage: Bacteria; Pseudomonadati; Pseudomonadota; Betaproteobacteria; Burkholderiales; Burkholderiaceae. The record is from RNAcentral.
CCUGAUGACCAUAGCGAGUCGGUCCCACCCCUUCCCAUCCCGAACAGGACCGUGAAACGACUCUACACCGAUGAUAGUGCGGAUUCCCGUGUGAAAGUAGGUAAUCGUCAGGC